GACGAACGCUGGCGGCGCGCUUAACACAUGCAAGUCGAACGGAAAGGCCUGCUUUCCCUUGUGGAUUGCGGGUACUCGAGUGGCGAACGGGUGAGUAACACGUGAGUGAUCUGCCCCCAACUUGGGUAUAAGCCUGGGAAACUGGGUCUAAUUCCCGAUAGGACUGCAGGGUGGUGCCUGUGGUUGAAAACGAUUUUCUAGUGGUUGGGGAUGAGCUCGCGGCGUAUCAGCUUGUUGGUGGGGGAAUGGCCUACCAAGGCGGCGACGGGUAGCCGGCCUGGGAGGGUGGACGGCCACAUUGGGACUGAGAUACGGCCCAGACUCCUACGGGAGGCAGCAGUGGGGAAUAUUGCACAAUGGGCGGAAGCCUGAUGCAGCGACGCCGCGUGGGGGAUGACGGCCUUCGGGUUGUAAACUCCUUUCGACCGCGAGGAAGCCACCUGGUUGGAAGGGUGGUGACGGUAGUGGUAGAAGAAGCACCGGCUAACUACGUG
RNAcentral lists this ribosomal RNA (494 nucleotides) under uncultured bacterium. Its description in RNAcentral is "partial 16S ribosomal RNA". It matches the Rfam family "Bacterial small subunit ribosomal RNA", at positions 28 to 507 of the family's 1533-position model. The record is from RNAcentral.